UCGGGUGGGUUGCCGAUGCACGUCGCAGACCCGAAGUGGCGGGCGGCAGAGUAAAGCGGCGCCGAGCAACGACGCCGGCCGCCCGAGCCCGUGGCCGGAUAGCCGGGAUCGACGCGGCCGGGGGGUGCRAAUCGACGCGGCCGCCCGGUUCCGAUACUCGCGCUCUUUCCCGCUAUACGCCCAAGACGGUGGGGCGAAGGUGAGGUCGCCGGACGUCGACGAGAAAGAACCGCUCGCACGUGUAAAGGUACACGCUUGGUUCUCGUCCGCGAGAAAGGGCAGUACGUCGCGGCCGCAAGAGCAUCCGACCCC
Molecule: ribosomal RNA, 312 nt
Filed under: Architeuthis sp.
Lineage: Eukaryota; Metazoa; Mollusca; Cephalopoda; Oegopsida; Architeuthidae
Description: partial 28S ribosomal RNA
Source: RNAcentral